This 253-nucleotide ribosomal RNA is filed under the name uncultured bacterium. RNAcentral describes it as "partial 16S ribosomal RNA". It matches the Rfam family "Bacterial small subunit ribosomal RNA", at positions 524 to 776 of the family's 1533-position model. The record is from RNAcentral.
UACGUAGGCAGCAAGCGUUGUCCGGAAUUAUUGGGCGUAAAGAGCUCGUAGGCGGUCUGUCGCGUCGGAUGUGAAAACCCAGGGCUCAACCCUGGGCCUGCAUUCGAUACGGGCAGACUAGAGUUCGGUAGGGGAGACUGGAAUUCCUGGUGUAGCGGCGAAAUGCGCAGAUAUCAGGAGGAACACCGGUGGCGAAGGCGGGUCUCUGGGCCGAAACUGACGCUGAGGAGCGAAAGCGUGGGGAGCAAACAGG